RNAcentral lists this ribosomal RNA (422 nucleotides) under Fusobacteriota bacterium. Its description in RNAcentral is "Fusobacteria bacterium partial 16S ribosomal RNA". It matches the Rfam family "Bacterial small subunit ribosomal RNA", at positions 355 to 776 of the family's 1533-position model. The record is from RNAcentral. Lineage: Bacteria; Fusobacteriati; Fusobacteriota.
UGGGGGAUUUUGCACAAUGGGCGCAAGCCUGAUGCAGCGACGCCGCGUGAGGGAUGAAGGCCUUCGGGUUGUAAACCUCUUUCGCUGGGUUGAAAGGCCAUGCUUUGGGUGUGGUUGAUUUGAACUGGUAAAGAAGUACCGGCUAACUACGUGCCAGCAGCCGCGGUAAUACGUAGGGUACUAGCGUUGUCCGGAUUUAUUGGGCGUAAAGGGCUUGUAGGUGGUUUGUCGCGUCUGUCGUGAAAUCCUGUGGCUUAACCAUGGGCUUGCGGUGGGUACGGGCAGGCUUGAGUGCGGUAGGGGGGACUGGAAUUCCUGGUGUAGCGGUGGAAUGCGCAGAUAUCAGGAGGAACACCGGUGGCGAAGGCGGGUCUCUGGGCCGUUACUGACACUGAGAAGCGAAAGCGUGGGGAGCGAACAGG